UGGUGUGAAUUACUACGACAUUGAAUGUAACAUAAAAGUUUGUAAAACCUUGUGAAUCUUUGCCGUGUUGUAUUCUACAUUUCUAUUGGUCAGUUGUGAAGCAACGUCAACUAAUUUAGUUUCUGAUUGGUCAAGGGGCGGGAUCACAGCUAUAGUAGGUAGUCCGAAGCAGGUGUGCGAGAGCAGUUCGUUCGUGAGACGGGGCGUUGCCUCGUCGUCUCGCGGCUAAAGGACGGAGGAAAAACUGCUGUAAUCUAAGCUAUUAGCAUGCUAAGCUACGAGCGCGCUAAGCUAGCGCUCAUGGACUUCAGUGCUAACCGCCUGCUAGCAUCUCCGAUGGAGUUCAUCAGCACUGAUGGCGACCGAGAGGAAACCAGAUAGCGCACUGGUUGACCGGGUAAAACUCAGCUGCACCUUGGGCUACAAGGGACGUGAGACUUUCUUCAUCCAUCGGUCAAGGACAGCUUUGUCCGGAAAAAAAGGCCUGGUGGAGCUCUCGCCCCGUCCCCUCCACUGUGACCCAGGAGGCCGUGUCCUUCCCUUCCUCCGUAGCGUCGUGUCAGUGCUAAACCUCUCAGGAACAUCCAGAGAACAUCACAGGUUUGAGCAGCAGCAGCGAGAACAAGCAGCACUACAAAAACACACACACACACACACACACACUAAGACGCAAAACAGGACGUUGCAACACAUGAAGAGCAUUUUGAGAAACACUGCUGAAGACUCGAAAAAAUUAACAAUAGAAAAAGAACAAUAG
This 757-nucleotide long non-coding RNA is filed under the name Scophthalmus maximus (turbot). RNAcentral's name for it is "lncRNA (ENSSMAG00000028895.1)". The record is from RNAcentral. Lineage: Eukaryota; Metazoa; Chordata; Actinopteri; Pleuronectiformes; Scophthalmidae.